This 253-nucleotide ribosomal RNA is filed under the name uncultured bacterium. RNAcentral's name for it is "partial 16S ribosomal RNA". It matches the Rfam family "Bacterial small subunit ribosomal RNA", at positions 524 to 776 of the family's 1533-position model. The record is from RNAcentral.
UACGAAGGGGGCUAGCGUUGCUCGGAAUCACUGGGCGUAAAGGGUGCGUAGGCGGGUCUUUAAGUCAGGGGUGAAAUCCUGGAGCUCAACUCCAGAACUGCCUUUGAUACUGAAGAUCUUGAGUUCGGGAGAGGUGAGUGGAACUGCGAGUGUAGAGGUAAAAUUCGUAGAUAUUCGCAAGAACACCAGUGGCGAAGGCGGCUUACUGGUCCGGUUCUGACGCUGAGGCGCGAAAGCGUGGGGAGCAAACAGG